Molecule: ribosomal RNA, 328 nt
Filed under: uncultured eukaryote
Lineage: Eukaryota
Description: partial 18S ribosomal RNA
Rfam family: Eukaryotic small subunit ribosomal RNA
Source: RNAcentral
CCCUUAGAUGUUCUGGGCUGCACGCGCGCUACACUGAUGCGCUCAACGAGUUUUAACCUUGCCUGGAAAGGUUGGGUAAUCUUUUUAAAACGCAUCGUGAUGGGGAUAGAUUAUUGCAAUUAUUAAUCUUCAACGAGGAAUUCCUAGUAAGCGCGAGUCAUCAACUCGUGCUGAUUACGUCCCUGCCCUUUGUACACACCGCCCGUCGCUACUACCGAUUGAACGUUUUAGUGAGGUAUUUGGACUGGGCCUUGGGAGGUUUCGGCCUCCCUUGUUGCUCGGAAAGACUCCCAAACUUGAGCGUUUAGAGGAAGUAAAAGUCGUAACA